Long non-coding RNA from Scylla paramamosain (green mud crab), 1005 nucleotides. RefSeq lists it as uncharacterized. Lineage: Eukaryota; Metazoa; Arthropoda; Malacostraca; Decapoda; Portunidae. The transcript is spliced from 6 exons. The record is from RefSeq and is a predicted model, not a curated record.
CCAGAAUUAAUUUAAAAUUAUGCCCUUUCAUAAUAUGUAAAGCAUUCCGGCCUAGCUCCAUUUUUGCGAGGGGUCAUUUUCAAAAUCAUUUGCGUAACGUAAAUAUGGCGGACGUGACGUCAUCAGCCGCCUUCAUCCGGGGACCGAGACCCUGGACCUUCCCUCCUCCCAGUGCCCUUCCAUUAGUAUUUAGUGUUAUUUCCUAUAUUUUCCAGCUGUUUUCAUGCAUAGAGAAGAAUAGAAAGAGGAGGAAAGAAGGAGAAAUGAAGAAGGAGGAGGAAGAAGAGGGAAGGGAAGGAGGAAGAGGAGAAGGAAAAGAAGAAAUAUUAAGAAAAGAUUUUCACUGAAUUUCCAGCGUUUUAAAGUGAGACGGCCCACAGAGUCGCGCCAAAAACGUGGAUCUACAGGCCAGGCAUCUUAUGUUUAACCAGGUGUACAAGGUGCUGGCUUUCAAGGGCUCCUCCACACCUACAGACACACGCACACACCACCAGAUACAGGAAGCCUUGGAUGUGCCCCUGUGCUCCCCCCCACGCCCCCCUCGCCGCCCUUGGCAGUGUGGGAACCUCGGUACACGCCAGAGUGCCAAAAUUAAUUGAUGAGCUACAGAACUACACCAUCGUUCAGGUGGCAGCCGGAGACCAGCACUCUCUUUCUCUCACCUCCUGGGGCCUGAUCUACGCACGGGGGUGACAAUGGGUACGGUGAGCUUGGCGUCAACUCCUGCGACAGUCACACCGCCACACGCAAGCUUGUCAAGAGUCUGGCCAGGAAGGUGACAGUGCAGCUGGCCUGUGACGCCAACCACACCCUUGCCUUGACUGCUGAUGGUGACAAAAUACCUUCGGCCAGUUGGCACUUAGACACCGACAGGGGCCCCAGAAGGAUCCUGCCCUGGUGACCUCCUUGGCUGGCACCCUCUUAGUCCUGCUGGCCGCUGCGGGUCACCACUCUGCUGCCGUGACCCAGGCCGGCUACCUGCUGUUGUGGGGGUCAAACAAGCAG